RNAcentral lists this ribosomal RNA (161 nucleotides) under uncultured bacterium. Its description in RNAcentral is "partial 16S rRNA". It matches the Rfam family "Bacterial small subunit ribosomal RNA", at positions 358 to 511 of the family's 1533-position model. The record is from RNAcentral.
GGAAUCUUCGGCAAUGGACGCAAGUCUGAUGGAGCAACGCCGCGUGAGUGAAGAAGGUCUUCGGAUCGUAAAACUCUGUUGUUAGAGAAGAACACGAGUGAGAGUAACUGUUCAUUCGAUGACGGUAUCUAACCAGCAAGUCACGGCUAACUACGUGUCAG